This 326-nucleotide ribosomal RNA is filed under the name uncultured eukaryote. RNAcentral describes it as "partial 18S ribosomal RNA". It matches the Rfam family "Eukaryotic small subunit ribosomal RNA", at positions 1470 to 1796 of the family's 1831-position model. The record is from RNAcentral.
CCCUUAGAUGUUCUGGGCCGCACGCGCGCUACACUGAUGCAUUCAACAAGCCUAGCCUUGACCGAGAGGUCCGGGUAAUCUUUGAAACUGCAUCGUGAUGGGGCUAGAUUAUUGCAAUUAUUAAUCUUCAACGAGGAAUGCCUAGUAAGCGUGAUUCAUCAAAUCGCGUUGAUUACGUCCCUGCCCUUUGUACACACCGCCCGUCGCUCCUAACGAUUGAAUGUGUUGGUGAGGAGCUCGGAUUGGCAGCAGUUGGUGGUUCGCCACCGGCUAUUGCUGAGAAGUCCUCCAAACCGCCCCAUUUAGAGGAAGGAGAAGUCGUAACA